Long non-coding RNA from Lolium perenne, 2014 nucleotides. RefSeq lists it as uncharacterized. The record is from RefSeq and is a predicted model, not a curated record. Lineage: Eukaryota; Viridiplantae; Streptophyta; Magnoliopsida; Poales; Poaceae.
CAAGACACUGAAUGUCAUCCUCCCUCCCUGCUCUCUCUUCGCUGGCUUCUCUGGUCCUCUCUCCCUCAUUUCUCCAAUCCUCUGCUGCGGCGACGGGUACCCGACUUGGAGGCCUCGUCGGCGGGAACGAGGGCCGACAGCGGUGGUUGCAUGGCUAGGGCGGAGGGAACCAGGGGCGACCAGGCGGGUGUGGUGGCUCGUGGUCGCGGCGACGACGGCAUGCAGACCGGCGCGGCGACGGUGGGAACAUGGGGCGGGUGCGGUGGCAUCGGCUCGUAGGCCGGCGCGGCGGCAAGAAGCAGGAAGGGAAGCGACGGAAAUCAGGUAGCCGGUUCCUGUUCACUCCGAUUUGGCCUCCUUCCCCCAUCCGAUUUGGCCUCCUUUCUCUCCAGUUUUGCAAGGUGAGAAGAAUUGUGCUAAAUAUGCUGCUUUUACUCCGAUUUUGACCAGGAGAGUUAUUGUUUAUUCAAGAUGAUUACAGAAGAUCACGUAUAGCCUACGAAUCAUGUCUUGCCUUCUAUGAUUCUAACCUGAAUUAAGUGUGAUACGAGUUUGGUGAUUCUGAAUUCUGAUUAUAUGGAAUUGCAUAGAGGUGGGAAUUGCGCCGGAGGUGGAGAUAUUGUUCCUCGCGGUCUGUAAUUUCUGCAUUCUGUAAUGUUAGAGAUGGGAACUACUAGAGGAGCACAUGUUUGAGGUUGUAGAGGUUGAUCUCCCGCUGGACUAUCAACCCGCGAGAACAUAGAGAACCAUCAACAAAUUGGAUUAUGGAUUGUUGAGUGUGAUAAAAGGAAACCAUGGUAUGCUCAUGAGUUUCUACAACAAAUGUCUCGGACCAUUAGUCUGGUGGGUUUAAUAGACUUCUUCAGACUUUCUUUGGAGGUGCUUGAGUUUCUGCGAGCUUGAGGGUUUGUAUAACAGGGAAGUCAAGUUCAAAUUAAGAAGCACAACAUGUUGGCACAUAUAGUUUACUUGGUACCAUGUAUGUAGUUUGACUUUGUUCAAACGAUUACUCUUUACAUAGCAGGGAUAGUAUAUUAAGAAGCGGACAUCAAAAAAGCUGCUGAGAUUAAAGCUAGGUAAAUGACCCCCUCUAUGACCAACAUUCAGACAUUUGCCCAUGUCUAAUAUUCUUCGUCUUCGAAAGAUGCAAUGAAGUAUUUUUCUGUUGUCAAGUAGAUUUGUAGGGAUUAUAAGCUCUAGGAGUAAAAAUCAUUAUGCCUGGCUGCUCCUGCAACAUCUGCUCACACGCAGGUAACUGGUGGUGUACAUGGCAACAGAGUUCAUGUCGAUGCUCAGAUUGUGGAUUGGAGAUCCAUCUCGGCGGUGUGAUUAGUUUUUUUUCUUGUGGUCUCCUGCGUCUACCAAGGACCUGGUGCCUGGUGUGGCAGCCUCAACUUUCCCCGGUGGAUUUGGGUGCCAUUUUUUUUAAACAAGUUCUACAUAUUUGUAAUUCGCUUUUUUUUCCUUUCUAGGCAUUUCAAUCACUUCUAUGAUUUCUGAUUUUUUUCUUAAUUUUUCAUCUUUCUGCCUUGUAGUACGGAGUACUAUUUUUCUUUUCAUACUUAUUGAUCUUUCUGAGUUAACACCGUGAGCCAACUUCAGGAAGGAGCCGUCAAGGACCGUGAUCGUCAAAGCCGAACGUGCAUAGACCAAUGAUAUUGCAUUAGGAUAUGCUGUGAAUUUCACCGCUAACUUGGUUAGGCCGGCGCCGGCUGAGCAGGUGGAACCUAUAGGCCAUGGCCAUCAGCAAGGUGGUUUGCCAGAGAAGCGUAGACGAUCAUGUAUCGAAUACACGGUUGCCGGUAACAAGGCCGAUUCCUUAUGUUUCUUGGCAUUGUUAUUGUACGGUGCAAUCUAUUAGGUAUCUUACUUCGUUCAUGGUAAAGAAAUUGGUGAAUAAAUUCAGUUACAAGUCUGAAGUGGUGAACAUACUGGCAUGGAAUAACCAUUUGAUGAGAAAGGCUGAGAUGGAGAUCAAGAAACUUGAGGAAUAUAUAUGGUUCCCACAAUUCUA